This is a long non-coding RNA of Melanotaenia boesemani (Boeseman's rainbowfish), 150 nucleotides long. RefSeq lists it as uncharacterized. NCBI's taxonomy places the organism in Eukaryota, Metazoa, Chordata, Actinopteri, Atheriniformes, Melanotaeniidae. The transcript is spliced from 4 exons. The record is from RefSeq and is a predicted model, not a curated record.
UAUGCGACAACCCGACCUGUUCAGAUGAAGGCCAUCUCCACAAAACAAUGAGGCACGGUUCCAAAAUAAAUUAAAAUUGUCAAUAAAACUAACAUUAUGGGAACUGAAGAUUGAGUGGAGCCAAGUAUUAACCUCCUGAGACCUGAGGAU